RNAcentral lists this unclassified non-coding RNA (390 nucleotides) under Hevea brasiliensis (rubber tree). The record is from RNAcentral. Lineage: Eukaryota; Viridiplantae; Streptophyta; Magnoliopsida; Malpighiales; Euphorbiaceae.
UGAUUGUCAUAAAGGCUGAAAUCAGGAAGAGAAUGGAAUCACUAUGCUCUAUGCAAUUUGGCCUUUGAUGCAUGUUUCUAAUUGUUUUGAUAUGCAUCAUCAAUCUCUUCAAUCUCUCUGAAUUUCAUGUCUCCGCGAUAUAAUUUCUGACAUGCUCAUCUUAAGAAAUAUGCUAGAUGUGUUGGCAGGCUCAUUUUGACUUCCUGAUUUCAGCCUUUAUGACAAUCAGCACUACAUAGCAAACUAAAAGUUUUUCUGAAAGGAUUAUUUUAAUAAUUGAAACAGAAUGGACAUGUCUUAUAAACCCAUAAGACGAUUAAUUAAAAGAAACUGUCAGUAAUUGAACCUAUGAAGUUAUAACUGUCACAUUGGAUCUACAUUUUCAAGAUG